UGCUGGGGCGGCUCAUAUAUAAAAUUCACCUCCACUUUUCCUUCCUCGGACACAGUUCCAUACAUAAAUCCACCUCUUUUCACAGCAAAAGCAAGCUUCUCGUUAACAUACAGUUGGAAGGCAUUGGCACAAUCCUGAUCGAAUGACACGCAUUCACAAUGAGGAUUUUCUUGUCUGGUAAUUCGCAUUUGUCUGGCAAUUAGGUCGUCCAUGGUCAUUUUGCGGCCGAA
Molecule: unclassified non-coding RNA, 230 nt
Filed under: Hevea brasiliensis (rubber tree)
Lineage: Eukaryota; Viridiplantae; Streptophyta; Magnoliopsida; Malpighiales; Euphorbiaceae
Source: RNAcentral